This 211-nucleotide long non-coding RNA is filed under the name Elaeis guineensis (African oil palm). Its description in RNAcentral is "long non-coding RNA (EGUI_LNC006775)". Lineage: Eukaryota; Viridiplantae; Streptophyta; Magnoliopsida; Arecales; Arecaceae. The record is from RNAcentral.
UAUCUAGUGCGGCAUGCAAAUAAAUCAAUAUUUCAUGAAAAAAAUAUAAAUAUAUUUUAUGCACUUAUAAAUGUUCUUGGAAAUGAUUUUUAUUAAUUUUAUAUAUAGCAUGAUUAGAUGUAUACAGUGUCAGGUAGUGGAAGAUAGAUUGGCCAUAUCUAAGUCCUACCACCGUAAAGGAUGGAGGAUGAUCAUGAUGCAAAAGUGGGCG